RNAcentral lists this ribosomal RNA (524 nucleotides) under uncultured bacterium. RNAcentral describes it as "bacterial SSU rRNA". It matches the Rfam family "Bacterial small subunit ribosomal RNA", at positions 1 to 524 of the family's 1533-position model. The record is from RNAcentral.
UAGAGUUUGAUCCUGGCUCAGGAUGAACGCUAGCGGCAGGCUUAAUACAUGCAAGUCGAGGGGCAGCGCAGUGUAGCAAUACAUGGGCGGCGACCGGCAAACGGGUGCGGAACACGUACGCAACCUUCCCAAAACUGGUGAAUAGCCUUUCGAAAGAGAGAUUAAUACACCGUAACUUAAUGAAGUGGCAUCACUUUAUUAAUAUAGCUCCGGCGGUUUUGGAUGGGCGUGCGCCUGAUUAGGUAGUUGGCGGGGUAACGGCCCACCAAGCCUACGAUCAGUAACUGGUGUGAGAGCACGACCAGUCACACGGGCACUGAGACACGGGCCCGACUCCUACGGGAGGCAGCAGUAAGGAAUAUUGGUCAAUGGACGCAAGUCUGAACCAGCCAUGCCGCGUGGAGGAUGAAGGUCCUCUGGAUUGUAAACUUCUUUUAUUUGGGAAGAAAUCCACUUUUUCUAAAGUGGUUGACGGUACCAGAUGAAUAAGCACCGGCUAACUCCGUGCCAGCAGCCCCGGUCAA